Molecule: ribosomal RNA, 267 nt
Filed under: uncultured bacterium
Lineage: Bacteria
Description: partial 16S ribosomal RNA
Rfam family: Bacterial small subunit ribosomal RNA
Source: RNAcentral
UACGGAGGGUGCAAGCGUUAUCCGGAUUCACUGGGUUUAAAGGGUGCGUAGGUGGGUUGGUAAGUCAGUGGUGAAAUCUCCGGGCUUAACCUGGAAACUGCCAUUGAUACUAUCAAUCUUGAAUACCUUGGAGGUGAGCGGAAUAUGUCAUGUAGCGGUGAAAUGCUUAGAUAUGACAUAGAACACCAAUUGCGAAGGCAGCUCACUACACGGUCAUUGACACUGAGGCACGAAAGCGUGGGGAUCAAACAGGAAUUAGAAACCCCU